This is a long non-coding RNA of Harpia harpyja (harpy eagle), 4243 nucleotides long. RefSeq lists it as uncharacterized. NCBI's taxonomy places the organism in Eukaryota, Metazoa, Chordata, Aves, Accipitriformes, Accipitridae. The transcript is spliced from 4 exons. The record is from RefSeq and is a predicted model, not a curated record.
CCCCCCGCCCCCGCCCCGGGCCUCGGUCCCCGGCCCCGGCCCUGCCCCGGAGGAGCUGGGCGAUGUGUCCCGGCCGCCCCGGCACCCCCCCCGACCCCCGUCUGCCGGCGGGCUGCCGAGAAGCCGCCUCCCGCGGGGGCGUCGGGCCGGAGCUCGGCCGCCCUGAGCCGUCGGCGGGGGGAGGCUGAGGCGGCCCGGGCUGCCCGAGUCUCUCUGAGGUAACAAGCGGCUCCGCAAGGCCGAGGGGAAAGCCCGCGUCUCCGCUUCCCGCCCAGGCUGCCAGCGGAGAGGCAGGCAGUUGCUCCGGAACGGGGACCUGCCGCGGAGCGGUGACAGCGGCCAGACAGACGCGUUUGCCCGGGUGAGAGGAUUUCGUCCAAAAUCAUGGGGGUUCAGUGAUUGUGAUCCUCGCUUCCUCUGUGACAAUGUGAAAUUACAUCUUCCCAACCAUGAAGUGGUUCAGAAGAAAUUCCAGUUUCUGCAGUUUGAUGGGAUUUGUAGUGAUUAUCCCAAGAAGAUAUCCUUUGGAAGACAGAUAUCCUUUUGGAAGACAUCCUGGAAGAAUCUACAAUGCUCUUAUAUGUCAAGAGGUAUAAAGCACGAGCAACUGCGACCAGCUGCCCUCCCAUCCUGCUCCAUGGACAUCAAAAAAUGCAGAACCUGAAACUUAGCAAAUGGAUGUAUUCCAGGGAUUUGGAUGAAGAAACUGAAUCCUUCUUCACUCUCUGAGAUACUUGAACAAAAUAAUACUGUAGGAAGGUUUUGCAGUGUAGCUGGGUGAAAUGAAGUUUGAGGAAAAUGGUGUGGCACACAUUCAAGGAUGGAUAAAGAAGGAAUGAGGAGAUGCUCUAUGAUGAAUAAAGCACAAAAUCAGUUCACAAACACAAAAACUGGACCAUUUUCAAAAAAGUCAGGUGCACAGUGAGUGGAAGCUGUUCCAAGUCUCAUGCUUAUAUAGCAGCCAGCAGAUGUUUUACAUCCAUGUCUGAGCAACCAGCUCUCUUCUCAUCAGUAUUAAGUGUUCAGCUGACAUUAAAGGGACAGACAGAAUUAAAACUGAGAGCUCAGAAACCUAAGCAGCUUUUCUGAAGUUUGCUAUGUCUACUAAUUAUUGCACAUGCUUCUUUUUUUCUCAAAGGUAUUAAUGAACAUUUUAAAAAUGAGAAGAAUCCUGAGAAGAGCAGCCACAGACACAUAAACAGCUCAAUAAUAACAACAUAUAAAUAUUCUCAAGCAAUAAAUGUGGAAAACACAUAUGAAAACAACAUAACAAAAUUUCAAGAGAUUAGUAUAAAAAAUACAGGAAAGAGACAGAAGUGGCUGCCAAAGGCCUUUGAAUACAGUCCUGUUAACCUCUUCCUCUUCCUGGAUUUUGUGACCUGCUUUGUAAAGUAGUUACAGAUUUGCGUACCAUGUCUGACAGCUCAAAAAAUCACACCACUCUUACAUAACAAAUAUAAGUAGAGAUUAUUUGGUAUAAUAUGUCAUAGAUCAAAGAACACUGGGGUCCAGGUACUCACUCUGACUCCACCUUGACUGCAUACUAGGGGGAAAGCCAGAUGUUUGUGCUCCUUUUCCUUCCGUGAGGCUCUUUUCCACCCGAGGAAGACCUAGACACGUGAGAAAGGAGGGGCUGGUGAUGUACUUGAACAGGUCCCCCAGUGUGGGAUAUCAGUGACUAUUAAUACAGUAUUUACCUUCGAGUGCACCUGAACCACAGUUUUGGUAUCAAGGUCAAGAAAAAAUUGAAGCUCUACCCUAAAGGACUUAGAAUAUCUGUGCAAAUGUAAGUACAUGCUUAUUUUUAAGGAAUGAAAUGAACCACUCUCUCGAUUUAUUCAUCCAGAACUGAAUCAGUAGAUUGACUUUUAGAUUAAUAGGCUAACUUUUAAAUGACAAGAGUUUCACUGUAAGUAAUGUGUGGUUCAAAACUUCUUCUAUUUUAUAUUAAGGGGAAAAAAAGGCUGUGGCGAGGUGAGCGGUUCUGAAGGCAGAGAUGUUCCAGGGGUAACGGGUUGUAGCGCAAAAGGUGCUGAGUGGUUGGAGGGAAAACUCAACAAAUUUAAGAGACACUUUUGUAUCCUGCAAAUGAUCUAAUGUGGACUGUGUAUGAAUUUGAUUUAUUUGGAUACUAGUAUCUUAGUCAGACAUCAUAGUUUUUCUCUAGCCAGCUAAAUACAGCUAAGAAAUUUGUAACUGUAAUGCAGAUAAGUUUCUGGUGCUGAGUCCCACAUCCUAUAUACGUCCUUCAUUCUUCCAUCUGUCCUGGUAACAAAAACAUGGCAUCUGAACUCAUACCCUACUUUUGGUCAUUAGGUGUAUUUAGGGAAAAUAAUGUACAGACCAUUACUUUUCAGCACAAAGUUUCCAAAGCAUUUGCCAGUGCAAAUGCCUAACCCUACUUGCAAGACUUCUCCUUUGUAUUUACCUUAUCUCACAGUCCUUGGAAUCACCUGCGGAGUCCCAGAGAUGCUCAGAGCAUGGACAGAAAACUAGAAGUGUAGAGGGUUCCUCUCUUUCUUCCCAUAGUCAGCAGCUUAGGGACUUGCUGAGCUAAAGGUUGCACCCUUACCACCAUAUGUAACCACUUCUGCCCUCCAUUUGUUUCUUUUCUUUCCUCUCGAUCACUUUCUUUGAACUCUACAUUCAUUCUCUGCUCUUUUUUCUCCCUUAUCAAAUAUGUCCUUAUCGUCAUUUUCAAGAACUUCCCUGGCAUGUUUGCACUGUGUUGUCACCCCUGAUUCUCUAUAAAGAUACUGAUUGCAGCCACCAGCUGGCCAUUUGUUGCAUUUCUCGAUGCAUCCAUUUGGUGCUUCCUCCCAUGCAGCCAUCACAUAUGGGAGAAGAAUGCCAUAAACAUUUAUGCAGUGAAUGCAUUGUGCUUUUCAAAGCUUUCCAGCAAAAAUCUUGAAACUCUUAUGCUGCAGGUGUGCGCGAAGUACUGUCACCCCCAUGCUGACGAGUAAUGACUUCUUGAUUUUCCCGUCUGCUUGUUUGUAUCCACCCGAGUGUUGUCUCAUACACUUGGAUUGUAAAGUUUUCUGGGACCCUGUCCUUUUUACAAGCUUUGCGCAAUUCCUAGUGCAACAAGGUCUUGAUCAGUGAGUAGUGCUUCUGAGCGUGACAAGAAUUACAGACAAGGAUUCUGACAAAAAAUAGCAGUUCUCACUCUUCUUCUGAUACUCCAGUGCCUGUAUUUUACAAGCUUUUCGGUGUGUGAGUAGACAGGAAAGAUCGCUUCCUCAGAACAGUAGGCAAAAAUUUAAGCAUAGCUUGGACACAAGGAACUUGAAAACAAGUUUCAAUCUGACAGUGAUGCUUGGGUUAUAAAUCUGGCAAUCAGAAGAAUUGUGCUGUCAAUAAUGAUUACAAAGGGUGUAGGAGAGAGGAAAUCUUUUGUUGGGCAGACAGCAGAGCACCGUGAUAUAUAUGGGUUGCGAGAGAGGAAUCACUUCUCUUUCAAGCUCUCUUGCUUAGAAGUGAGAAAAAGUAGGAGAAGAUUCAUAGCACUGCAACUCGCCAGGCUGCUCUGUGUUUGCAUAAGCUGUACAUCAGUCACUUUGCCCAUCUGGGAAGUGUAAGAGGCUCAGAAGUCCAGGUCCAGAAAAUUCAUCUCCUGGAGGGACCUAAUAAUAACUAAUGUAAAGGUGCACUGUUAUGUACUGAAGAUGAUCCUGCAGUCCCUAAAAUCCGGCACUGACGGCUACUGUUUUUGUGGAGGAACGUUUCUGUGGCAUGCUGCCAAGGGACAGUGAGAGUCUUUCAGAGGCAGAUUUCUGCCCACAGCAGAUGGAGGUAACAGCCUUUAGUUGCAAACAGAAGCCUAACAACAGCAAGAAAGGACACGACCAUGUAGAAACAGUGGCACAGACAAAGCUGAUGAUGCUUUUAAGGCAGAUGCGUACCACGAAUACCUUGUGAAGGGAAUGUGCAAUGAGCAGCGAGGGACCAAGAACCUUCUCAUGAAGUGCAAGUCAAUUAUCUAUGCAUAUAUCCUCCUAUGCUAGCCGAUGGCAUCUAUUCUUAAUAUCCGCUGUUAAGUAUUCGUGUGUUCACACAUCUUAUGUCGAACUGUGUAAACAAACUGUGUUUCCAGAAAUGCUCUGUACUCAUCUUAUGUUCUACUGUGAAAAUCCAUUAGUAGUUAAAUUCUUGUCAUCCUUGUGCAAUAUACCAAAAAGAUUUGUAACCUUGUUAGUGAACUCAGCAAAGAAAGAGAUAAAAAUAAGCUCUGAUAAUGUCA